CUAAAAAAGUUCAGUAUGAAAGUCCUCAACAUCAACAUCUUGAAACUUAUUAUAGCUGUCAUUCUGUAUUGUGUUCUGUUCGUCGAAGAACAAGAGAUAGGCGAAAAUGCAACAUGUACACCUUUUACCCGCAAAAUCCCAAAUGUAGCUCAACUGGAAACUGAAACGCAUUAUAUUUACUGAAUUUAGAAACAUACGUGUUCACAUUCACGUAUUGUAAUCUUCGCUUCAAAACGUAUAACACAAAAUAAAACAUGCUCGUCUUAACCUAAUUUAAAAGGCCACGCAAAAA
Drosophila suzukii is the source of this 292-nucleotide non-coding RNA. The record is from RefSeq and is a predicted model, not a curated record. NCBI's taxonomy places the organism in Eukaryota, Metazoa, Arthropoda, Insecta, Diptera, Drosophilidae.